Molecule: ribosomal RNA, 857 nt
Filed under: Kocuria sp.
Lineage: Bacteria; Bacillati; Actinomycetota; Actinomycetes; Micrococcales; Micrococcaceae
Description: bacterial SSU rRNA
Rfam family: Bacterial small subunit ribosomal RNA
Source: RNAcentral
GGGGGGGCAGAGGGUUGGGGGGGAAUACAGAGCAGGGGGGGAGAAAGGAAUUCCUGGUGUAGCGGUGAAAUGCGCAGAUAUCAGGAGGAACACCGAUGGCGAAGGCAGGUCUCUGGGCUGUUACUGACGCUGAGGAGCGAAAGCAUGGGGAGCGAACAGGAUUAGAUACCCUGGUAGUCCAUGCCGUAAACGUUGGGCACUAGGUGUGGGGGACAUUCCACGUCCUCCGCGCCGUAGCUAACGCAUUAAGUGCCCCGCCUGGGGAGUACGGCCGCAAGGCUAAAACUCAAAGGAAUUGACGGGGGCCCGCACAAGCGGCGGAGCAUGCGGAUUAAUUCGAUGCAACGCGAAGAACCUUACCAAGGCUUGACAUCCACCGGACCGCACUGGAGACAGUGCUUCCCUUCGGGGCUGGUGGACAGGUGGUGCAUGGUUGUCGUCAGCUCGUGUCGUGAGAUGUUGGGUUAAGUCCCGCAACGAGCGCAACCCUCGUUCUAUGUUGCCAGCACGUGAUGGUGGGGACUCAUAGGAGACUGCCGGGGUCAACUCGGAGGAAGGUGGGGAUGACGUCAAAUCAUCAUGCCCCUUAUGUCUUGGGCUUCACGCAUGCUACAAUGGCCGGUACAAAGGGUUGCGAUACUGUGAGGUGGAGCUAAUCCCAAAAAGCCGGUCUCAGUUCGGAUUGAGGUCUGCAACUCGACCUCAUGAAGUCGGAGUCGCUAGUAAUCGCAGAUCAGCAACGCUGCGGUGAAUACGUUCCCGGGCCUUGUACACACCGCCCGUCAAGUCACGAAAGUUGUAACACCCGAAGCCGGUGGCCUAACCCCUUGUGGGAGGGAGCCGUCGAAGUGGGACCG